UUGCUCCCUGUCUCUUCAACUGGAUCAGCUAAUCGGAGGCUUCUGAUGAAUGCCUUUCAGCCUUCCUGGGCCCUGGCAACAUUCCCUCAUGUCAGCUGAAGUAGCUACAGAAGAAAGCAUGUUGUCCCUUCUCCUGCCACCCACCUCCCAGCAGGCUGAAAUACUAAGUCAAAAGGAAACUCCUUGGCACAGGGGACAAAAUGGCUACCUAUAAGCUAAUCGACAUACUAGAAAAAUGGGCCCAUUAACUAAAUAGUUGCCAACCAAGAUGUCAGGUACCCAUGUACACGCUUCUUUCUGCCAGAUCAAGAUAUGAGCUCAGCUGUUCCUUCCACCAUGCCAUUUCUCCACUACCAUGGACUCUAGCCCUCUGAAACCACAAGACCAAUUAAACACAAUCUUGAA
This is a long non-coding RNA of Mastomys coucha (southern multimammate mouse), 405 nucleotides long. RefSeq lists it as uncharacterized. The record is from RefSeq and is a predicted model, not a curated record. The transcript is spliced from 2 exons. Lineage: Eukaryota; Metazoa; Chordata; Mammalia; Rodentia; Muridae.